Molecule: long non-coding RNA, 836 nt
Filed under: Canis lupus familiaris (dog)
Lineage: Eukaryota; Metazoa; Chordata; Mammalia; Carnivora; Canidae
Description: lncRNA (ENSCAFG00000058674.1)
Source: RNAcentral
ACACCCACUUGUGAUCCGGUUUGAUGGAUUGAGGUGGUGGUGGGGGGGGGGGGGGCUGGGGGGGCGCGGGGUGGGGGACAGAUGAGCCCUGGCGGGGAAGUGGUGAUGCCUGAGUCUCACAUCCCUCCUUGCCCCCAUAUCCACCUUUCUUCCCAGAGGAGCAUCUGAAGUGGGGUCCCCUCCCAAGAAGGAGCCUUGCUGCUUUCUCCUCCCUUCACCUGUCUUCUCCAGAGCAAAUCAUGCUUCCCUCGGGAGAGCUGAAAAGAGCAUGGAUUUUAAGCAGUGUGGCCUUCAGCAAGUUGCUGUGAAUUUGCACUCCUGGGUAUGUAUCCAAAGGAGAUGGGAUCUGCACUCCCAUGUUCAUUGCAAUGUUAUUCCCAGGAACUGAGGCAUGGAAACAACUUGGGCAUUGUUGGCAGAUGAGUGGAUGAAGUUGUGGUACCUACACACACGUGGACACACGUGCACACACAAAAUGUAGCAUUUUUCAGCCUUCGGAAGGAAGGGAAUUCUGUCCUUUGUGACAGUGUGGAUGCCCUUGGAGGGCAUUAUGCGAAGGAUAAUGAGCUCAGCACCAAAAGACGAAGACUGCAUGAUAUCACUCAUAUGUGACAUCAACACAAGCAGAACUCAGAGAAAUAGAGAAUAGAAUGGUGGUGACCACAAGCUUGGGGGAAAUGGGGUAGAAACUUCCAGUUAUAAGAUGACUAUUGUCCUGAGGAUCUAAUUUAUGGUGUGGUGACCACUCUUAAUACUGCAUUGUGCCUUUGAAACUUGUUAAAAGGGUCGAUCUCAAGUGUUCUCACCACACACACACACACGCACGCGCACGUGCA